RNAcentral lists this ribosomal RNA (167 nucleotides) under uncultured bacterium. RNAcentral's name for it is "partial 16S ribosomal RNA". It matches the Rfam family "Bacterial small subunit ribosomal RNA", at positions 352 to 511 of the family's 1533-position model. The record is from RNAcentral.
CAGUAGGGAAUCUUCCACAAUGGACGCAAGUCUGAUGGAGCAACGCCGCGUGAGUGAAGAAGGGUUUCGGCUCGUAAAGCUCUGUUGUUAAAGAAGAACGUGGGUAAGAGUAACUGUUUACCCAGUGACGGCAUUUAACCAGAAAGCCACGGCUAACUACGUGCCAG